UAACCAGGAUUCCCCUAGUAGCGGCGAGCGAAGAGGGAAAAGCCCUAUAUGAAAAGCCGUAUUUAAAAAGGCGAUGUAUUAGGUAACUUCUGGGAUGUCAGUUUGGGUAAGUGGCAUGGAAAUGUCUACCGCGGAGGGUGAGAGUCCCGUCCAGCCCAUUCAGGACAUUUCGCACGAAGUUGCUCAUAUGAGUCGCGUAGAUUGGGACUUCUGCGCUAAGUCGGUGGUAAAUCUCAUCGAAGGCUAAAUACUGGUAGGAGACCGAUAGUGAACAAGUACCGUGAGGGAAAGAUCAAAAGCACUUUGAAAAGAGGGUGAAAAGAACCUGAAACCGUUACGAAGGAAGCGUAUUGCGUUCAGUUGAUGGCUGUUAAACUACUCAUCUGUCUUUUUGUCUAGAGUAUUUGGUUUAAUAGUUAACCACUAUGCAUUUUUCGUGGCUGAUUUUGAGCUGCGGGAGAUGGAGGGAUCCCCUUUAAGGGUGAGGAUAGUGGUGCAGGAACUCGAUGCGACCCGUCUUGAAACACGGACCAAGGAGUCUAACAUGGCUGCGAGUUGAAGGGUGGUAAACCUGGAGGCGCAGUGAAAGCGAACUUUCUAAAACGGGCAGUUUGUGGCGGCAUAAAAUCGUUGAUUUUAGGUCUGACUAGGAGCAGUUAUGUUAGGACCCGAAAGAUGGUGAACUAUGCUUGAGUAGGUCGAAGGCAGAAGAAAUUCUGCUGGAAGACCGAAGCGGUGCUGACGUGCAAAUCGCUCGUCGAACUCGAGUAUAGGGGCGAAAGACUAAUCGAACCAUCUAGUAGCUGGUUCCCUCCGAAGUUUCUCUCAGGAUAGCGGGCCGACCCUUAUUGUUUUGUGCGGUAAAGCGAAUGAUUAGCGUACUCGGGGGCAUUCAGCCUUCGGUCGAUUCUCAAACUUUUAAUGCGCAAGGGUAUCACUGCUUUAUUGAGCGGUGCCUUUAAAAAUGUCGGCCUUGUGGGCCACUUUUGGUAAGCAGAACUGGCGAUGUGGGAUGAACCAUACGUGUGNNNNNNNNNNNNNNNNNCUCGCUUAUAGACCCCACAAAAGGUGUUGAUUCAUCGAGACAGCAGGACGGUGGCCAUGGAAGUCGGAAUCCGCUAAGGAGUGUGUAACAACUCACCUGCCGAAUGGAUUAGCCCUGAAAAUGGAUGGCGCUGAAGCGGGUAGCCGAUACCACGCCGUCUAUUUUAAUGAAUGUAAUAGAUGAGUAGGAGGGCGUGGAGGUCGUAUCGAAGCAUGCGUGCGAACGUGUGUGGAACGGCCUCUAGUGCAGAUCUUGGUGGUAGUAGCAAAUAUUCAAGCGAGAUCCUUGAAGGGCGAAGCGGGGAAGGGUUCCACGCGAACAUUGAUUGGGCGUGGGUGAGUCGUUCCUAAGCCGCGUGGUAAUAGCUAUCAAACGGCGAAAGGGAAGCGGGUUGAAAUUCCCGCACACGGAUGUGGAGGCGGCGACGCUGUAUUGAGACGAGCCCGUCGGCGAUUGCACUGGGCAGAGAUGUCUUUUCUGUUUAACCAACUCGCGCGUCGUGUGGAAUCCGAUUAUCGGGCGAAACACACGUACCGGGUAAGAGCGCCGGGCCUUUUCCGGCGUCCAGCUCGCGAUCGACGGCCCUUGAAAACUUGUCUACUGCAAUUAAAUCCACGCCGUGGCGUACCGAUAACCGCAUCAGGUCCCCAAGGUGAACAGCCUCUGCCUAAUAUGAACAAUGCAGGUAAGGGAAGUCGGCAAAUUAGACCCGUAACUUCGGGAAAAGGGUUGGCUCUAGUGUUGCGUGGGAGUGGUUGUCUGUUGUUGGCCGUCGUUGGCUAGCUGUUGUUGUUGCCGGGCAACCGGUGGCGGCUUCGGCGGGCUGAUUGCGAUCGCUACGGACGACGCCCACAGCAUGCGGCAAACUAGAACUGCAACGGUCAAAGGGAAUCCGACUGUUUAAUUAAAACAAAGCAUUGCGAAGGCCAGGGAUGGUGAUGACGCAAUGUGAUUUCUGCUCAGUGCUCUGAAUGUCAAAGUGA
RNAcentral lists this ribosomal RNA (2028 nucleotides) under Yendoa hakodatensis. Its description in RNAcentral is "Lomentaria hakodatensis partial large subunit ribosomal RNA". It matches the Rfam family "Eukaryotic large subunit ribosomal RNA", at positions 66 to 2225 of the family's 3401-position model. Lineage: Eukaryota; Rhodophyta; Florideophyceae; Rhodymeniales; Lomentariaceae. The record is from RNAcentral.